GCGCCGGAGCAGGUCAUAACCAGUAACAGUCGAGCGGAACGAUGGAAGCUUGCUUCCAGGCGUCGAGCGGCGGACGGGUGAGUAAUGCAUAGGAAUCUGCCCGAUAGUGGGGGAUAACGUGGGGAAACUCACGCUAAUACCGCAUACGUCCUACGGGAGAAAGCAGGGGAUCUUCGGACCUUGCGCUAUCGGAUGAGCCUAUGUCGGAUUAGCUAGUUGGUGAGGUAACGGCUCACCAAGGCGACGAUCCGUAGCUGGUCUGAGAGGAUGAUCAGCCACACUGGGACUGAGACACGGCCCAGACUCCUACGGGAGGCAGCAGUGGGGAAUAUUGGACAAUGGGGGAAACCCUGAUCCAGCCAUGCCGCGUGUGUGAAGAAGGCCUUCGGGUUGUAAAGCACUUUCAGCGAGGAAGAAGGCCUGAGGGCUAAUACCCUUCAGGAAGGACAUCACUCGCAGAAGAAGCACCGGCUAACUCCGUGCCAGCAGCCGCGGUAAUACGGAGGGUGCGAGCGUUAAUCGGAAUUACUGGGCGUAAAGCGCGCGUAGGUGGCUUGAUAAGCCGGUUGUGAAAGCCCCGGGCUCAACCUGGGAACGGCAUCCGGAACUGUCAGGCUAGAGUGCAGGAGAGGAAGGUAGAAUUCCCGGUGUAGCGGUGAAAUGCGUAGAGAUCGGGAGGAAUACCAGUGGCGAAGGCGGCCUUCUGGACUGACACUGACACUGAGGUGCGAAAGCGUGGGUAGCAAACAGGAUUAGAUACCCUGGUAGUCCACGCCGUAAACGAUGUCGACUAGCCGUUGGGUUCCUUGAGAACUUUGUGGCGCAGUUAACGCGAUAAGUCGACCGCCUGGGGAGUACGGCCGCAAGGUUAAAACUCAAAUGAAUUGACGGGGGCCCGCACAAGCGGUGGAGCAUGUGGUUUAAUUCGAUGCAACGCGAAGAACCUUACCUACCCUUGACAUCGUGCGAACUUGGUAGAGAUACCUUGGUGCCCUUCGGGAACGCACAGACAGGUGCUGCAUGGCUGUCGUCAGCUCGUGUUGUGAAUGUGGGUUAGUCCCGUAACGAGCGCAACCCUGUCCUAUUUGCCAGCGAUUCCGUCCGUACUCUAGGGAGACUGCUGAUGAACAACCGGAAGGAAGGGUUGGGGGAC
Molecule: ribosomal RNA, 1153 nt
Filed under: Billgrantia campisalis
Lineage: Bacteria; Pseudomonadati; Pseudomonadota; Gammaproteobacteria; Oceanospirillales; Halomonadaceae
Description: bacterial SSU rRNA
Rfam family: Bacterial small subunit ribosomal RNA
Source: RNAcentral